Molecule: ribosomal RNA, 681 nt
Filed under: uncultured marine eukaryote
Lineage: Eukaryota
Description: bacterial SSU rRNA
Rfam family: Eukaryotic small subunit ribosomal RNA
Source: RNAcentral
UGUUGCAGUUAAAGCUCGUAGUUGGAUUUCUGGGGGGUGCGACCGGUCGGCUCCGCMMGGGGUGCGUACUUGUGUCGCCGCUCUUCAUCCUUCGGACGAACGUGUCUGGCAUUAGGUUGUCGGGCUCGGCAGUCCGAUCAUUUACUGUGAAAAAAUUAGGGUGUUUAAAGCAGGCGUUUGCUGUGAAUACAUUAGCAUGGAAUAAUAAGAUAGGACUUUGGUGCUAUUUUGUUGGUUUGCACACCAAGGUAAUGAUUAAUAGGGAUAGUUGGGGAUAUUCAUAUUCAAUAGUCAGAGGUGAAAUUCUUGAUUUAUGGAAGAUGAACUUAUGCGAAAGCAUUUACCAAGGAUGUUUUCAUUAAUCAAGAACGAAAGUUAGGGGAUCGAAGAUGAUUAGAUACCAUCGUAGUCUUAACCAUAAACUAUGCCGACUAGGGAUUGGCGGGUGUUACUUUAAUGACCCCGUCAGCACCUUAUGAGAAAUCAAAGUCUUUGGGUUCCGGGGGGAGUAUGGUCGCAAGGCUGAAACUUAAAGGAAUUGACGGAAGGGCACCACCAGGAGUGGAGCCUGCGGCUUAAUUUGACUCAACACGGGGAAACUUACCAGGUCCAGACAUAGUAAGGAUUGACAGAUUGAGAGCUCUUUCUUGAUUCUAUGGGUGGUGGUGCAUGGCCGUCUUA